AUUCGCCCUUAGAGUUUGAUCCUGGCUCAGGACGAACGCUGGCGGCGUGCCUAACACAUGCAAGUCGAGCGGGGAUUUGGGAGCUUGCUUCCGGAUCCUAGCGGCGGACGGGUGAGUAACGCGUGAGCAACCUGCCUUUCACAGGGGGAUAACGCAUCGAAAGAUGUGCUAAUACCGCGUAAGACCACGGCACCGCAUGGUGCAGGGGUCAAAGGAGCAAUCCGGUGAGAGAUGGGCACGCGUCCGAUUAGCUAGUUGGUGAGAUAACAGCCCACCAAGGCGACGAUCAGUAGCCGACCUGAGAGGGUGAUCGGCCACAUUGGAACUGAGAAACGGUCCAGACUCCUACGGGAGGCAGCAGUGGGGAAUAUUGGGCAAUGGGCGAAAGCCUGACCCAGCAACGCCGCGUGAGGGAAGAAGGGUUUCGGCUCGUAAACCUCUGUCCUAUGGGACGAAGAAAGUGACGGUACCAUAGGAGGAAGCCCCGGCUAACUACGUGCCAGCAGCCGCGGUAAUACGUAGGGGGCGAGCGUUGUCCGGAAUGAUUGGGCGUAAAGGGCGCGUAGGCGGCCUGAUAAGUCUGGAGUGAAAGUCCUGCUUUCAAGGUGGGAAUUGCUUUGGAUACUGUCGGGCUGGAGUGCAGGAGAGGAAAGCGGAAUUACCGGUGUAGCGGUGAAAUGCGUAGAGAUCGGUAGGAACACCAGUUGGCGAAGGCGGCUUUCUGGACUGAAACUGACGCUGAGGCGCGAAAGCGUGGGGAGCAAACAGGAUUAGAUACCCUGGUAGUCCACGCGGUAAACGAUGAAUGAUAGGGGUAGGAAGUUCGACCCCCUCUGUGGCCGCAGUCAACACA
Molecule: ribosomal RNA, 853 nt
Filed under: uncultured bacterium
Lineage: Bacteria
Description: bacterial SSU rRNA
Rfam family: Bacterial small subunit ribosomal RNA
Source: RNAcentral